UGAUAAGUCUGUAUUUCAUCGCUUUUUGAGCAUGAAUUCAUCAUCUUUUCAGCAUCAUUCACUUGUUGAUUCGCAUCAUAUUGAUCCCUUUCUGCAUGUUUUACAUACUUAGGUAGGUUUUAUGCAUAUCAUGCAUAUCUUGCAUACAUUGUGCAUAUUUGGAGUGUUUCAGGUACUUAGGAGACAUGCAGAGCGAAGCAGAGGAACAAGCGUUACUCGACAUGCACAUGAUCACACGCACUCGACAUGCACAUGAUCACACGCACUCGAGUGAGCAGCAGACGUAUACGAUCGAGUAGCUGAUCGAGCAGAAGGG
This 316-nucleotide long non-coding RNA is filed under the name Capsella grandiflora. RNAcentral describes it as "long non-coding RNA (CGRA_LNC001380)". The record is from RNAcentral. Lineage: Eukaryota; Viridiplantae; Streptophyta; Magnoliopsida; Brassicales; Brassicaceae.